CAUGGAACACACAUAUUAGACCACAUGUUUUAUUCAUGGUGCACUCUUCCACACGUUCACCAAUUCAUGCAUCCCAUUCCAAUAAAUACGUUUUACCUCAGCUACCGUAAUUUUAAACAAAUAAUUAAUUAAAUCCAUUGAAGACUACCUCAGGUCAUCAAAAUUCGGUUCCACUCCACAAAUUGGAGGGAUUUAUAAGAAU
Molecule: unclassified non-coding RNA, 202 nt
Filed under: Hevea brasiliensis (rubber tree)
Lineage: Eukaryota; Viridiplantae; Streptophyta; Magnoliopsida; Malpighiales; Euphorbiaceae
Source: RNAcentral